UCUGAGAGCAAGCACUUUCUUAGGCCUUGGUGUCUUCUCAGGCCUGCAUAUGAUGUUUCCUGGGCCAAGCCAUGUCUACAGCUCUGGAGCUUAUUUCCUGGAGUGGGUGUUGUCAUCUCAGGCGUCUUGCUGAUCAUCAUUCUCGUUGACAGUUUCGUUCCUGGGUCAGAAAACAUGUUGUCUAUCAGUGAGUCAUCAUCCUCCCCGCUCUCGCUGACUCUGGGGGUGUUUUCUUCCUUGAACUUUUUGUAGCCAAAAGUGCGAGGGAUCUGUACACUGAUAGUGCCAGGUGUCUAUUACCACAGGGAGCUAUCCUGGGGCAGGCCUAUUGGGGUCUUUCCCUCCUGCCAGCUGUCUUUCCAGGCUGUCACCAGGUCUUCCCCUAGUUGCCAGCUGCUCUUUUCACACUAGUCAUUGGGUGGAUCCAGAUGAUCAGUUAUGUUUUAGGACUAGGUGAAACAAUCCGUAAAAAGGAAUAUGUCUGUGCCAUAAGCAUCAGAAAGUUUUUUUUUUUUUUAUGAUUAUGGCCCUGAAUGACAUCAUAGGACAUUCCCAGAGAAGCGCAGGUACACAUCAACCAGAGCGAGAGCGCUGCACUUGCUGCAGCAAUGGAGUUGUGCAAGUGUGUUAGUUUGUUCUCAGUAUUUUGGUGAUUAAAGUUUUAGAAAUAAACAAAAUUUAAGUGAAUUAAGUGUUUGUCCGUUUAUUUGUCACAGCUUGCAGACGAUCUCAUAAAAUUCUACAUAUAAAAUCCACACAUAAUAAAGUGACUAUUACACCCACAGAAAACAUGAAUACUGUUGCCAAGCAGAGUUCACUGCUUGGAAACAUUAAACAACAUUUUGUGUUUAGUUUUUGAGGUUGAGAGUAUUGCAAAUGUAUUACAAAAGGUAAAAACAUUACAGCUUAUCUUAAGAAAAAAAAAUUGCUUAAAAAGGCAAUAUAUUACAUUAUUUCUCAAUCUUUGCUUAUGUGAAGUGCAAACCUCAAGCAUUAAACACUAAAGCUAUGUUCACAUUUGGCAUCUUUUUUGAAGCUGCCAGCUUCGUUUUUACAUUAUAAUCCUAUAAAGCAAAAGUGUUUUCAAAAAAGUCCUGAGCGCUUUUUAAAAAACCACCGCAAUGGUCUUUUUCUGCAGCUCAGAGCGUCUUUUCAAGUUGAAUAAAAGUUUAACUUUUCUGAAAAAAAUAAAAAAUAAAUAAUAGCCCUAGGUCAAGCACCUUUUUGUCAGCUGAACAAUUAAAAGUCAGUGGCAAGUUGUUCCAUAACAACAAAAACAAGGAGAAAAGGUAAACAGAUCGUACUAGUUUCGGAGCACAAGGAGUUAUAUGAUACGAGUACCAUACAGUUUCUUACCAGUAUAAUGUUGAGCUCCCACAAACAUUGUCAAAAGCCAACAUUUCUGCGGCACACAAUGCUAGGCUAUCAGUGCAGAUGUUGUUUUAGCAACAAAAGACGACCUCAGCUGUUAUUUGUAACCAAAACUAACACUGCAUUCCAUUCAAGUCGUCUGGCUUUUUAACCCCCUAUAUAUAGCAGAUAUCCCAAAUUCCAUUUAGAAUGGUACAUAACUUAACGUGACAUGCCUGAUUUUGAUGUUUGGAACCAAAAUGAUCAGAGCAGAUGUAAAAGUUCAGUAUUGAAGUUAAAUCAUCAGAGAUAAGGUGGAUAUGCGUCUCCAAUAAGCAUUAAUCCACAAAUGACUUAAGCUGUUAACUUUUUUAAUGUGGCUGACACUCCCUCCGAGUUAAAACAAACCAAUAUCCCGGAGUAAUUCAUGUACUCAAAGAGUACACUGACUGAACUGAUGUGAAGAGAGAACUGAAGAUGAACGCCGAGCAGAGCCAGAUAACAAACAAAAGUUUGACUCGUUCUUGAUUCAAGAACCGGUUGCAUUGGUUUUAGGAUCAAACGAUUUAGGAUACGGUUGACCGUACCCACAGUUUCAAUGGAGGGACUGAGAGCUCUCGGACUAAAUCUAAAAUAUCUUAAACUGUGUUCCAAAGAUGAACGGAGGUUGAGGGUGAGGAUGAGUCAUUAAUGACAUAAAUUUUAAUUUUUGGGUGAAGUAACCCUUUAAGGACACAAGGUGACCUUCCUCACUUAUCUAGAGUCCCUGUAGAUCCAUGAGAACUCUAAAAGGAUCAGAUAUGAGCAGACAUCUGAAUUCACCUUAAGUAAAGACUUUUAGUAAAAGUAAACUUUUAUUCCAGAGAUAUUCUGGGGACACUUUACAAAUAGAUUCAAAUGGUUAAUAUUAGUAUUAUUUAAUGACACCUAAUGCAUUAAACUUCUACAACAUUUCUUAACGUAGGUUAAUGUUAAUUCAUAAAUAUACUGAUUUGUCUUAAUGCUCGUGUACAUUAAUAACUUGAAAUGUAAAAAAAAAAAAAAAAAAUUUUUAUACAGUUGUUUAUACUACAGAACUUGUUCAAUGGCAGUUCAUGGCUGCCAUUUGUUUUGUAAUGAAUAGUUUGUCAAUUUCAAUAGCUUCCUAUUUGUAUUUUUGUUUGUGUAUUCUGUAACUACUGUUGUUACGCUCGCUCUUUGCUACACGUUGUGAAGCAUUGUGAUCUCUAAAAGACACUGGAUAAAUAAAAAUGAUUACAUCUCUUAUUCAUUCAUUUCUUUUUCUAUUUCACUCACUGAAUUUUUCAUUCUCUAAUUCAAUCACUCACUCUUCCCCUCACUCUCCCUCUUUCUAAAUCAUUCACUCCUUUCAUUUUAAUCUCAUUCACAUUCUCAUAACUUUCUCUCUUUCAUUCCCCAUCUUAAUCAUUUUUCU
Molecule: long non-coding RNA, 2785 nt
Organism: Carassius auratus (goldfish)
Lineage: Eukaryota; Metazoa; Chordata; Actinopteri; Cypriniformes; Cyprinidae
Exons: 3
Source: RefSeq, a predicted model, not a curated record